Molecule: small RNA, 1058 nt
Filed under: Arabidopsis thaliana (thale cress)
Lineage: Eukaryota; Viridiplantae; Streptophyta; Magnoliopsida; Brassicales; Brassicaceae
Description: ATSL097180
Source: RNAcentral
UGUUAUAAUCUAAUAAAAUAUUUAAAUAAAAGCACACAUUGUGUUUUUAAGUAUUUGCUUUUUAAUAAACUUUGUUCGAGAAAAUCUCAUUUAAAAACCUACAUUAUUACCAAACUAUACAAAACUUAAAAAAAUCUAAUUAUGUCAAUUGACUCUAUGGUGGAACAUGACUAUGCCACUCCACAUGAUGUAAAUGUUCAUAACUUCUCUUGAAAAAAGCAGAAAAUGCUUAACAUUUGCUCAAAAAAUGCUUAACAUUUGCUUAAAAAUUACUUAUACUUGCUUGGAUUAGGGAGUUUUCAUCUUAAAGGGACAAGAAGGAGAGAAGUUAAUAGGGCUACUUACAACUGCAAUCAACCUCCAUUCAUCUUCCCAAUUAGGCAUUAGCGAUAACUACUUUUUCGUCACUACUUAGUCAAUAAGUUAAGGUUUCUUCAAAUUUUAAUGUUGUGAAGAAAAAGGCAGAUGCUCUAGUAUAGUUACUCUUACUCUCUCAUCCUAAAUUUAGUUAUGCUAUGAUCACUAUAUUACAAACUAUUAUUUCUUUGACAAAGACCUUAUACCAAAUUCAUUUGAUAUUCUUAGCUGUCAUAAAGAAAAAGAUUUCAUUACUUUUAAGUUUUUACUUUUUAACUUCAUAUGAAACCUUUUAAGUUCAGUAUUUUCAAUAAUAGAUAGUUUUGUAGUUUAGGCAUUUAAAAUUUUUGAGACCCUUAAACGUCCUUAUGAGUUGGUGUCUUGCAUAGCUUUUUGUACAUGAUGCUUUUAACACUACUAAUCUUAUUUUGAUAUCUAUUUUUAUUAUCUAAGAAAACAAAAUAGCAUAUAUUUUGUGUUUACGUUGGUGAGUAAUUGUUUAGUAUAAACCAAACCGAACAUUUUUUACUACAAGUCUACAAGGUGUCAAGGUACAAGCAGAGAUAUACGCGGGAAAUCAUAACACCGCCGGUUUGAACCGUUGUUAACAAGAAAUCAUAAAAGACGUUAGAAAACUUUUUCUUUGUAGUUUUUUUUAUAAAUGCAUUUUAAAUCUCAUAUAUAAAAUAUAAAUGUUAUUA